This 457-nucleotide ribosomal RNA is filed under the name uncultured bacterium. RNAcentral's name for it is "SSU rRNA". It matches the Rfam family "Bacterial small subunit ribosomal RNA", at positions 26 to 518 of the family's 1533-position model. The record is from RNAcentral.
AGGAUAAACGCUGGCGGCGUGCCUAAAACAUGCAAGUCGAACGGACCCUUCGGGGUUAGUGGCGAACGGCUGAGUAACACGUGGGUGACCUGCCUUCGAACGGGGGAUAACUGCCCGAAAGGGUGGCUAAUACCGCAGAUGUCUGAUCCUCGGUGAUGAGACUGAACUUCCGGGGUUCGGAGAGGGGCCUGCGUCCGAUUAGCUAGCUGGUGGGGUAACGGCCUACCAGGGCGACGAUCGGUAGCUGGUCUGAGAGGAUGAUCAGCCAGACUGGGACUGCGAGACGGCCCAGACUCCUACGGGAGGCAGCAGUUAGGAAUUUUGGGCAAUGGGCGAAAGCCUGACCCAGCAACGCCGCGUGGGUGAAGAAGGCCUUCGGGUCGUAAAGCCCUUUUCCAGGGGAAGAUAAUGACGGUACCCUGGGAAUCAGCCCGGCUAACUACGUGCCAGCAGCCGC